AACGAACGCUGGCGGCGCGUCUUAAGCAUGCAAGUCGAACGGUAAGGGAGAGCUUGCUCUCCCCUAGAGUGGCGGACUGGUGAGUAACGCGUGGGUGACCUGCCCUGAAGAUGGGGAUAGCUAUAGAAAUAUUAGUAAUACCGAAUGUGCUCAUUACAUAAAGGUAAAUGAGGAAAGGAGCUACGGCUCCGCUUCAGGAUGGGCCCGCGUCCCAUUAGCUGGUUGGUGAGGUAAAGGCCCACCAAGGCAACGAUGGGUACCGGCCUGAGAGGGUGAACGGACACAUUGGGACUGAGAUACGGCCCAAACUCCUACGGGAGGCAGCAGCUAAGAAUCUUCCGCAAUGGACGAAAGUCUGACGGAGCGACGCCGUGUGAUGAAGAAGGCCGAAAGGUUGUAAAAUUCUUUUGCAGAUGAAGAAUAAGAAGAAGAGGGAAUGCUCUUUGAUGACGGUAGUCAUGCGAAUACCCCGGCUAA
RNAcentral lists this ribosomal RNA (477 nucleotides) under Treponema denticola. RNAcentral's name for it is "bacterial SSU rRNA". It matches the Rfam family "Bacterial small subunit ribosomal RNA", at positions 29 to 500 of the family's 1533-position model. The record is from RNAcentral. Lineage: Bacteria; Pseudomonadati; Spirochaetota; Spirochaetia; Treponematales; Treponemataceae.